GGGAUUGUGGCUCAGUGGUCGAGUGCUCACCUAGCAUGUGUGAGGCACUGGGUUUGAUCCUCAGCACUCCAU
This 72-nucleotide transfer RNA is filed under the name Marmota monax (woodchuck). It matches the Rfam family "tRNA". Rfam says of the family: Transfer RNA (tRNA) molecules are approximately 80 nucleotides in length. Their secondary structure includes four short double-helical elements and three loops (D, anti-codon, and T loops). Lineage: Eukaryota; Metazoa; Chordata; Mammalia; Rodentia; Sciuridae. The record is from Rfam by way of RNAcentral.